GAUGAACGCUGGCGGCGUGCCUAAUACAUGCAAGUCGAACGAGGUGCUUUUGUAGCAAUACGAGAGUAUCCUAGUGGCGAACGGGUGAGUAACGCGUUGGUGACCUACCCCAAAGUGUGGAAUAACAGUCCGAAAGGAUUGCUAAUACCGCAUGUGGUUAUCGGGUUUAGAAACUGAUAACUAAAGGAGCAAUUCGCUUUGGGAGGGACCUGCGUCCCAUCAGCUAGUUGGUGAGGUAAUGGCUCACCAAGGCUACGACGGGUAGGGGACCUGAGAGGGUGACCCCCCACAAUGGAACUGAAACACGGUCCAUACACCUACGGGUGGCAGCAGUAGGGAAUAUUGCACAAUGGGCGAAAGCCUGAUGCAGCAACGCCGCGUGCACGAUGAAGGCCUUCGGGUCGUAAAGUGCUUUUCUGGGAGAUGAGAAAGGACAGUAUCCCAGGAAUAAGUCGCGGCUAACUACGUG
Molecule: ribosomal RNA, 469 nt
Filed under: uncultured bacterium
Lineage: Bacteria
Description: partial 16S ribosomal RNA
Rfam family: Bacterial small subunit ribosomal RNA
Source: RNAcentral